RNAcentral lists this long non-coding RNA (276 nucleotides) under Drosophila guanche. Lineage: Eukaryota; Metazoa; Arthropoda; Insecta; Diptera; Drosophilidae. The record is from RNAcentral.
GUGACAAAUGUCUGACAUAAUGCGUAAAUCCUCUGCCCCUACCCCACUUCAAAAGGUCUCUAGCACUUUUGUUAAAUUGAAUGGGGGAGAAUGACGGUUUCUGUGGGGGUUCAUUUCAAGUUCUGAAGCACACGCAUGGCGCAAGGUGAAUUUACUUACAAGGUAGUAACGUCUCUUCAUCAAUAUCUCUAUCUGCAUCCCUUUCCAGCGGCUGUCUCUUUGAGCGUGGUGAAUAAGUUGUCCUCCCCACAGCGGACAACUUCACCUUGUAAGUUA